This 258-nucleotide ribosomal RNA is filed under the name uncultured Lactobacillus sp. RNAcentral's name for it is "partial 16S ribosomal RNA". It matches the Rfam family "Bacterial small subunit ribosomal RNA", at positions 282 to 525 of the family's 1533-position model. Lineage: Bacteria; Bacillati; Bacillota; Bacilli; Lactobacillales; Lactobacillaceae. The record is from RNAcentral.
CGUAGCCCCGAGUUGAGAGACUGAUCGGCCACAUUGGGGACUGAGACACGGGCCCAAACUCCUACGGGAGGCAGCAGUAGGGAAUCUUCCACAAUGGACGCAAGUCUGAUGGAGCAAACGCCGCGUGAGUGAAGAAGGUUUUCGGAUCGUAAAGCUCUGUUGUUGGUGAAGAAGGAUAGAGGUAGUAACUGGCCCUUUAUUUGACGGUAAUCAACCAGAAAGUCACGGGCUAACUACGUGCCAGCAGCCGCGGUAAAU